This 192-nucleotide ribosomal RNA is filed under the name Triticum aestivum (bread wheat). RNAcentral's name for it is "partial small subunit ribosomal RNA". The record is from RNAcentral. Lineage: Eukaryota; Viridiplantae; Streptophyta; Magnoliopsida; Poales; Poaceae.
AUGCAGACCUUACUACGCAUGCUGAAUAGUUCAUCAACAACCUCAAAGAGACAUGGAACCGUCACUACGAACACUCAAAGGUCUAGAUCAGACAUUUUCCAAUUGAGUACGUGGCGACUACGAAGCAAGGGAACAAUAUGGAUUGUGGCUUUCACAAGUUGGAAUACCUUGCAAAGUGGGAAGGUAGACUAG